RNAcentral lists this ribosomal RNA (253 nucleotides) under uncultured bacterium. RNAcentral's name for it is "partial 16S ribosomal RNA". It matches the Rfam family "Bacterial small subunit ribosomal RNA", at positions 524 to 776 of the family's 1533-position model. The record is from RNAcentral.
CACGUAGGGCGCAAGCGUUGUCCGGAAUUAUUGGGCGUAAAGAGCUCGUAGGCGGUCUGUUACGUCUGCUGUGAAAACCCGGGGCUUAACCCUGGGCUUGCAGUGGAUACGGGCAGACUAGAGGCAGGUAGGGGAGAAUGGAAUUCCCGGUGUAGCGGUGAAAUGCGUAGAUAUCAGGAGGAACACCGAUGGCGAAGGCAGCUUCCUGGUCCAAUUCUGACGCUGAGGUGCGAAAGCGUGGGUAGCGAACGGG